RNAcentral lists this ribosomal RNA (468 nucleotides) under uncultured bacterium. Its description in RNAcentral is "bacterial SSU rRNA". It matches the Rfam family "Bacterial small subunit ribosomal RNA", at positions 28 to 524 of the family's 1533-position model. The record is from RNAcentral.
GAUGAGCGCUGGCGGCGUGCCUAAUACAUGCAAGUCGAGCGGUAACAGGUCUAGUUUACUAGAUGCUGACGAGCGGCGGACGGCUGAGUAACACGUAGGAACGUACCCCAAAGUGAGGGAUAACUGCUCGAAAGAGUAGCUAAUACCGCAUGUGAUCUAAGGAUUAAAGCUUUAUGCGCUUUGGGAACGGCCUGCGUUCGAUUAGCUAGUUGGUGAGGUAAUAGCUCACCAAGGCGAUGAUCGAUAGCUGGUCUGAGAGGAUGAUCAGCCAGACUGGGACUGAGACACGGCCCAGACUCCUACGGGAGGCAGCAGUAGGGAAUUUUCCACAAUGGACGAAAGUCUGAUGGAGCAACGCCGCGUGCAGGAUGAAUGUCUUCGGAUUGUAAACUGUCUUUUGUUGGUGAAGAAUAUGACGGUAACCAACGAAUAAGGGUCUGCUAACUACGUGCCAGCCGCCGCAGUAAU